CCCUGAAAAGCUCUAAAGGCACAAAGGUUUGGUCCUGACCUUGUUAUCAGCUUUUUCUAAACUUACACAUGCAAGUCUCAGCACACCCGUGAGGACGCCCUUUUAUCUACACCAGCACAAGGAGCCGGUAUCAGGCACUAAAACUUGCCCAUUACACCUAGUCUCACCACACCUCUAAAGGCUACAGCAGUGAUAAACAUUGUUCAUAAGCGACAGCUUGACUCAGUUACAGAAAAAAGAGCUGGCUAACUCGGUGCCAGCCGCCGCGGCUAAACCGCACGAGCUCAAGUUGAUAAACAUCGGCGUUAAGCGUGAUUAAAGAUAAACUAAAAUUAGAAUAAAACUAACACUUAGCUGUGACAAGCUUGUCUCUUAGGAAAAACAAAAACGAAAGUUAUUCUAAUAUACUUGAACCCACGACAGUUGAGAAACAAACUGGGAUUAGAUACCCCACUAUGCCCAACCGUAAAAUAUACACUCACAUCACCAACGCCAGGGAAUUACGAGCCUAGCUUAAAACCCAAAGGACUUGACGGUGUCCCACCCAGCUAGAGGAGCCUGUUCUAUAAUCGAUAACCCCCGAUUUACCUAACCCUAUUUUGCCAUUCAGCCUGUAUACCUCCGUCGUAAGCUUACCAUAUAAAUGCCCACAGUAAGUCUAAUGAUCUUAACAUCAAUACGUCAGGUCAAGGUGCAGCUUAUAGUAGGGAAAGAAAUGGGCUACAAUUUCUAAAUUAGAACAUACGAAAUGCUUCAUGAAACACAGCCACGAAGGCGGAUUUAGUAGUAAAAGGGGAAUAAUGCGCCCCUUUUAACAAGGCCCUGGGACGUGUACACACCGCCCGUCACCCUCUUCAACAACCCACAAUAUGUUUAUAACAACCCACCUUAUUUUAGAAGAGGCAAGUCGUAACAUGGUAAGUGUACCGGAAGGUGCACUUGGACAAACAAAAUAUAGCUUAACCUAAAGCCCCUCGCUUACACCGAGAAAAUAUCUGUGAAAGCCAGAUUAUUUUGAGCCCAAAAUUUAGCCUAAUUAAAAUCUUAUGUGCCCACAACUAACCCCCCCCCCAAAAAUUAAAACAUUUUACUUUUCUAGUAGAGGCGAUCAAAAAACUUAUUAGAGCUAUACAACUAGUACCGCAAGGGAAAAAUGAAAUAGUUUUGAAAUAGCCCUAAAGCAAAACACAGCAGAGAUUACCCCUCCUACCUUUUGCAUCAUGGUUUAGCUAGUCCCUAACAAGCAAAGCGAAACAUCAGUUUGUCCCCCCGAAACUAGACGAGCUACUUUAAAACAGUUUUAUAGAACCAACCCGUCUCUGUUGCAAAAGAGUGGGAUGAUUUUAAAGUAGAGGUGAAAAGCCUACCGAGCCUAGAGAUAGCUGGUUACUUAAGAAAGGAAUUUUAGUUCAAUCCCAAGUCUUCCCAUUUAGAAGAUAAACAACCAAGACUUGAGAAUUAAUUAAAUAAGGCACAGCUUAUUUAAUAAAGGAUACAGCCUAUAAAAAAGGGUAAAACUAUUAACACGGAUCAAGUGGGCCUAAAAGCAGCCACCUUUAAAAAAGCGUUAAAGCUUCAUCUUCUAAACCUGAUAAAUACCUCACCUCUCUUUAAACCCUUUAAUACUAUUAAGUAAUUCUAUAAAUAUAUAGAAGCUUUUAUGCUAAAACUAGUAACAAGAAAAUGUUUUUCUCCAAAAUUUAAGCAUAAGCCAAAAUGGACUCACCGUUGGCAAUUAACGUUAAUAAAAUCACUAUAACAACACACCUAGAAAACAUUAUACUUUCUCCACGUUAACCUUACACAAGUAAAUUUCUGGAAAGAUUAAAAGAAAAAGAAGGAACUCGGCAAAUUUUAACCCCGCCUGUUUACCAAAAACAUCGCCUCUUGAUAAAAUAUAAGAGGUCCAGCCUGCCCAGUGAUAUUCUUAAACGGCCGCGGUACCCUGACCGUGCAAAGGUAGCAUAAUCAUUUGUUCUUUAAAUAAGGACUCGUAUCAACGGCAUUACGAGGGUUAUACUGUCUCCUUUUUCCAAUCAGUGAAACUGACCUCCCCGUGAAGAGGCGGGGAUAUACAAACAAGACGAGAAGACCCCAUGGAGCUUUAAACCCAAUAACAACUCUCUUUAAUAAAAACUUUAAAAAUAUAGACGUACUGUUUAUUGGUUUUGGGUUGGGGUGACCACGGAGUAAAAAUUAACCUCCCUGACGAAUAGAUCUCAUCUUUAUCCAAGAGCAACUGCUCGAAGAAUCAAAAAUUUGACGCUACAUGAUCCGGCAACCGAUCAACGAACCAAGUUACCCUGGGGAUAACAGCGCAAUCCAUUUCAAGAGCUCCUAUCGACAAAUGGGUUUACGACCUCGAUGUUGGAUCAGGGUAUCCCAGUGGUGCAGCCGCUACUAAAGGUUUGUUUGUUCAACAAUU
Molecule: non-coding RNA, 2425 nt
Filed under: Limnonectes macrocephalus (Luzon fanged frog)
Lineage: Eukaryota; Metazoa; Chordata; Amphibia; Anura; Dicroglossidae
Description: partial contains tRNA-Phe, 12S ribosomal RNA, tRNA-Val, and 16S ribosomal RNA
Rfam family: Bacterial small subunit ribosomal RNA (bases 17-955)
Source: RNAcentral